GGAGCCCAGCUGUGCUGUCGGCUCAGGAGGCAGAGCUCUGGGUGUCUCACCAUGGCCUGGACCCCUCUCCUGCUCCCCCUCCUCACUUUCUGCACAGUCUCUGAGGCCUCCUAUGAGCUGACACAGCCACCCUCGGUGUCAGUGUCCCCAGGACAAACGGCCAGGAUCACCUGCUCUGGAGAUGCAUUGCCAAAACAAUAUGCUUAUUGGUACCAGCAGAAGUCAGGCCAGGCACCUGUGCUGAUCAUCUAUGAGGACAGCAAACGACCCUCUGGGAUCCCUGAGAGAUUCUCUGGCUCCAGCUCAGGGACAAUGGCCACCUUGACUAUCAGUGGGGCCCAGGUGGAGGAUGAAGCUGAUUACUACUGUUACUCAACAGACAGCAGCGGUAAUCAUAGCACAGUGACACUGGCAGAUGGGGAAGCAGACUUUGCAGGAAUGAGUCAGGAGUGGAUUUGGGCCUGGCAGGGCCAGACUGCCCUGUGUUUCCUUGCCCACGAUGACAUGAACCAGGUACACUGCUCUAAGUUCUGCCUGAAGGAGAGUGUUCCUCCACCACUGCUGUUCAGGGAAGCCCAGAGGCCAGAUGGGAUAAUAGCACUGUCCACAGCAGGGAUGGCUGCAUGUCCUGCAGAAACUUCUGUAACCCCAGUCUAA
Pan troglodytes (chimpanzee) is the source of this 657-nucleotide non-coding RNA. The record is from the annotation of a RefSeq genome assembly. Lineage: Eukaryota; Metazoa; Chordata; Mammalia; Primates; Hominidae.